UAGCAGCCGCGGUAAUUCCAGCUCCAAUAGCGUAUAUUAAAGUUGUUGCAGUUAAAAAGCUCGUAGUUGAAUUUCGGGACCAAUUUGUUGGUCGUGCCUCGGUACGUACUGGUAUUAUUGGUUUCUCCCUUCUGAAGAACCUUGAUGUCAUUAAUUUGGUGUCUUGGGGAAUCAGGACUGUUACUUUGAAAAAAUUAGAGUGUUUAAAGCAGACAUACGCUUGAAUACAUUAGCAUGGAAUAAUGAAAUAGGACAUCGCAUUCUAUUUUGUUGGUUUCUAGGAUCGAUGUAAUGAUUAAUAGGGAUAGUUGGGGGCAUUAGUAUUCAAUUGUCAGAGGUGAAAUUCUUGGAUUUAUUGAAGACUAACUACUGCGAAAGCAUUUGCCAAGGAUGUUUUCAUUAAUCAAGAACGAAAGUUAGGGGAUCGAAGACGAUCAGAUACCGUCGUAGUCUUAACCAUAAACUAUGCCGACUAGGAUCGGAUGAUGUUAAUUUUUUAAUGGCUCA
This 507-nucleotide ribosomal RNA is filed under the name uncultured Glomus. Its description in RNAcentral is "SSU rRNA". It matches the Rfam family "Eukaryotic small subunit ribosomal RNA", at positions 568 to 1078 of the family's 1831-position model. Lineage: Eukaryota; Fungi; Glomeromycota; Glomeromycetes; Glomerales; Glomeraceae. The record is from RNAcentral.